AGGAUCGGAGCUCGAGCGGCAGAGCAGGCGCCCUUUAAGCGUCAAGGUAGGGGUUCGAGUCCCCUCGGUCCCACCA
This 76-nucleotide transfer RNA is filed under the name marine sediment metagenome. Its description in RNAcentral is "tRNA-Lys". It matches the Rfam family "tRNA". From Rfam's summary of the family: Transfer RNA (tRNA) molecules are approximately 80 nucleotides in length. The record is from RNAcentral.